RNAcentral lists this ribosomal RNA (78 nucleotides) under Eutreptiella gymnastica. RNAcentral describes it as "partial Bacterial small subunit ribosomal RNA". Lineage: Eukaryota; Euglenozoa; Euglenophyceae; Eutreptiales; Eutreptiaceae. The record is from RNAcentral.
AGGGGGCAAGACUGCGCUCAGCGGGUGACCGAUGCAACAAGGUUGCCGUAAUGGAAGGUGUGGCUGGAUCACCUCCUU